Molecule: ribosomal RNA, 249 nt
Filed under: uncultured bacterium
Lineage: Bacteria
Description: partial 16S ribosomal RNA
Rfam family: Bacterial small subunit ribosomal RNA
Source: RNAcentral
UACGGGGGGUGCGAGCGUUGUCCGGAAUCACUGGGCGUAAAGGGCGCGUAGGUGGUUUGAUAAGGGUGUGGUGAAAGUCCGGAGCUCAACUCCGGAUCUGCCGUGCCGACUGUCAAACUCGAGGGCUGUAGAGGCAGACGGAAUUCCGGGUGUAGCGGUGGAAUGCGUAGAGAGUCCGGAGGAAGACCGGUGGCGAAGGCGGUCUGCUGGGCAGUUUCUGACACUGAGGCGCGACAGCGUGGGGAGCAA